GAUGAACGCUGGCGGCGUGCCUAAUACAUGCAAGUCGAGCGAACAGACGAGAGUGCUUGCACUCUCUGACGUUAGCGGCGGACGGGUGAGUAACACGUGGGUAACCUACCUAUAAGACUGGGAUAACUUCGGGAAACCGGAGCUAAUACCGGAUAAUAUUAGCCUUGCAUGAAGCCAUUGUGAAAGGCGGUUUUGCCGUUCACUAUAGGUUGAACCGCGGUGUAAUAGCUAGUUGGUGAGGUAACGGCUCACCAAGGCAACGAUACAUAGCCGACCUGAGAGGGUGAUCGGCCACACUGGGACUGAGACACGGCCCAGACUCCUACGGGAGGCAGCAGUAGGGAAUCUUCCGCAAUGGACGAAAGUCUGACGGAGCAAUGCCGCGUGAGUGAAGAAGGUUUUCGGAUCGUAAAACUCUGUUGUAAGGGAAGAACAAGUACGUUAGUAACUGAACGUACCUUGACGGUACCUUACCAGAAAGCCACGGCUAACUACGUG
This 498-nucleotide ribosomal RNA is filed under the name uncultured bacterium. Its description in RNAcentral is "partial 16S ribosomal RNA". It matches the Rfam family "Bacterial small subunit ribosomal RNA", at positions 28 to 507 of the family's 1533-position model. The record is from RNAcentral.